RNAcentral lists this long non-coding RNA (650 nucleotides) under Anser cygnoides (Swan goose). RNAcentral's name for it is "lncRNA (ENSACDG00005001704.1)". The record is from RNAcentral. Lineage: Eukaryota; Metazoa; Chordata; Aves; Anseriformes; Anatidae.
GCAAGAGGCUGGCGCGUGCGCAGAGCGGCGGGGCGGCAGCGCGCGCGGGGGAUGGCGCAUGCGCACGGCCGACUGGGGGGGGGUGUUCUGAGGAGGCUUAGGCGGAGGGGCCGUGGGGCUGGCGGUCGGCGCCGGUUCGGGGCUGCGAGGGUGCCGCUGAGGGGACCUGGGGGAAGAUGGGCCGAAAGCAUCAGGUGGGCGCCUCCAGCCGCUCACGUCGGACAAACUCACAGCUUUGGCAGCCAGUCGUGCAGCGUGCUUGCAGAAAGCGGGCCUUGGCUUUGAGCUGGUGUGAGGUGAAAAAAACGUCACCAGUAGUUAAAAGAGCUGAGCUGAAUCGCUGUUCAUCUGGUAACUGGAAGCACUGGCUUGUGAGUACCAGCAACAGCUUUCAAGAUUGUCUUCCGGGAAUAGCGGCACUAGGACAGUCUGUUGCUUGGAAACCCACCUGGCCAUACAAGGUAGCAUUCUGAGAUCCCGAAGCUCUCCCCUGGAGAAAGAUGAGAUGCCUGAUUAUUCAGAAAGUAUCAGUGAUCAACGCGCUAGUAUCCCACACAACAAUGAGAUGUGACUGACUUGUUGCCAGAUCUUGUCACAGACACUGCUGGCCUCGAGCUUAGCUGAUAAUAAAUCACCCUGCAGAGCUCUCA